AACGAACGCUGGCGGCAUGCCUAACACAUGCAAGUCGAACGAGACCUUCGGGUCUAGUGGCGCACGGGUGCGUAACGCGUGGGAACCUGCCCUUAGGUUCGGAAUACCUCCCCGAAAGGGGUGCUAAUACCGGAUAAUGUCUUCGGACCAAAGAUUUAUCGCCUUUGGAUGGGCCCGCGUUGGAUUAGCUAGUUGGUAGGGUAAAAGCCUACCAAGGCGACGAUCCAUAGCUGGUCUGAGAGGAUGAACAGCCACACUGGGACUGAGACACGGCCCAGACUCCUACGGGAGGCAGCAGUGGGGAAUAUUGGACAAUGGGCGAAAGCCUGAUCCAGCAAUGCCGCGUGAGUGAUGAAGGCCUUAGGGUUGUAAAGCUCUUUUACCCGGGAUGAUAAUGACAGUACCGGGAGAAUAAGCUCCGGCUAACUCCGUG
This 433-nucleotide ribosomal RNA is filed under the name uncultured bacterium. RNAcentral describes it as "partial 16S ribosomal RNA". It matches the Rfam family "Bacterial small subunit ribosomal RNA", at positions 29 to 507 of the family's 1533-position model. The record is from RNAcentral.